Long non-coding RNA from Equus caballus (horse), 1788 nucleotides. Lineage: Eukaryota; Metazoa; Chordata; Mammalia; Perissodactyla; Equidae. The record is from Ensembl.
CUCUUCUGACUUGGGCAGUUCUUUAUUUUUUAAUGUUUUUAUUUUUAUUGCGGUAACAUUGGUUGAUAACAUUAUAUAAAUUUCAGGUGAACACCAUUCUAUUUCAAUACCUGUGUAGACUACAUCUUGUUCACCACCCAAAGACUAAUUACCAUCCAUCACCACACACGUGUGCCUAAUCACCCCUUUUGCCUUCCUCCCUCCCCACUUCUUCUCUGGGGACAACAAAUCCAAUUUCUGUCUCUAUGUGAUUGUAGCUGUUUUUACCUUCCAUUGAUGAGUGAGAUCUAAGCAAGUUUUUAUGGCUGUUAGUUUUGCAAUCUUCCUCUAGAAAUUUCAUGAACCUUCUUCUGUGGGAGCCUCAUAGGUCAGAGUCAUUUUGGGAUAAGGAAUCCUUUGUCUCAGAUAUUCUUGCACAAAAGAGAGGAUGGGCCAUGACCAAUUUUACCAGCAGUUAAAGAUAAUUGUCACAAAGAUUUGGGAGGUGUGACAGGAAGGAGCACAGACUACGGGAACAGACUAGAGGGUUGAAUCCUGGUUCAACCUCCUUUUCAGCUGUGUGGCCUCAGGCUAUUGUUUUGUUUUGUUUUAUUUUAACCAUCCUCAGCUUCCAUCUCUUCAUCUGGAGAACUAUAAUAAAAAUAAUGCCUGUGUGAAAGGCUGAUCAAAUGAGAUCACGGAUGUGAAAAGUGCCUGUGUUUUUGCAAACUGGAAAGUACCAUACCAAGACAUUUGAAGACAUAGAAAUCAAGGAAGUUACUGUUAUUAAGUUUCCAGAAUAGAAUGAUUUUAGAAGUAAACGGGGAAAUCAACAGCAAAUGUUCUGCUUGUUUAAAAGUUUUCUCCAGAAAAUAAGGGCAAGGAUCAGAAGGAAUUAGGAUUCAAAUUUGGUUACCUCUAAAACAGCUUCUAUAUUUAAAUCUUACAUAGAUUGCAUUUUAAAGACAGAUCAUGGGCGGGUAUCUGGAAUUUAGUGCAAUUCCAACAUUCCAAUUAGGUCAUAAUAUAAAACUUGAGGUACACAGAACCAGACGGUGAGGAACGACAUUUGGCGCCGAUUAUUCCCUGUUCUGUGAUUAUAUCAUGAUUGUGGAAAAACAUAGCUAAAUACACCUCUUCGCUUAACAUUUCGUUUCUUAGGUUGAAGGUGACUUGAUGAGCGGUACUAGGUCUGCACCAGGAUCCAAACCCGUGAACCCUGGGACCACCAAAGCAGACAGCACGAACUUAACCACUACACCACCAGGCCAGCCCCAUGAGUAAGGCAUUUUAAAUUGUGCUUUAGCUGUAUAGUGGACUACUCCUCAGAAAUAAAAAAGAAUAAGUUACCGAUACACGGAACGAUAUCAAUGAAUCCCAAAAGUAUUAUGGUAAGUUAAAAAAGCGGGACGCAAAAAACACAUACCUUGUAAUUCCAUUUAGAGUAAAUUUUUGAAAAAGCAAAACUGUAGUGACAAAAGCAGUUUAGUAGUUGCCAGGAGCCAGAGACUGGAGGAAAAACUUGACUAAAAGGCGACACGAGGGAAAUUUUUUGGUGAUGAAAAGGUUAUAUGUUUUUUUGUGGUAGUGGUUACAUGACCAUAUACAUUGGUCAAAACUCAUUGAAUCUUACACAUAGGGUUGGUGAAUCUUAUUACAUGUAAGUGACACCUCAUCAAAGUUGAUUUAUAAAAGGCAAAUUGGAAACUCUUUGUAGGUGGGGCUUGUUGACUUGGAGUCUUUGAAUUGAGUUUACCAUAUGGGAAGCCAUCCAUUUCAUUGGCAGUAUCCUACAAAUGGUAGUCUGUG